ACUCCUACGGGAGGCAGCAGUAAGGGAUAUUGCGCAAUGGGCGAAAGCCUGACGCAGCAACGCCGCGUGGAGGAUGAAGGCCUUCGGGUCGUAAACUCCUUUUGACGCUGACGAGGAAGGACGGUAGGCGUCGAAGAAGUCACGGCUAACUACGUGCCAGCAGCCGCGGUAAU
RNAcentral lists this ribosomal RNA (173 nucleotides) under uncultured bacterium. Its description in RNAcentral is "partial 16S ribosomal RNA". It matches the Rfam family "Bacterial small subunit ribosomal RNA", at positions 335 to 524 of the family's 1533-position model. The record is from RNAcentral.